UAUUAUUUUUAGAUAAGUAAAUCCUUGGGUUAGUAGUAGAUAUUUACUUAAAAGNUAAAAGAUUUGGCGGUAAUUAAAUCUUUCCAGAGGAACUUGUUUUUUAAUCGAUAAACCUCGAAUUAUCUUACUUAUUUUAGUAAAGUUUGUAUACCAUCAUUAUCAGGUAAUUUUAAAAAAAAAUAAUUUCUAAGAAUGAGUAUUUAGGAAAAUUAGAUCAUGGUGCAGCUAAUAAAUAAGUUAAAAUGAGUUACAAUAAAUUUUUUUAAACGGAUAGUUAAAGAAUAAAAACUAUGAAGGAGGAUUUGGUAGUAUUAAAAAUUUAAUAUGUUUUUAAGAUGAUAGCUCUUAAUUAUGUACAUAU
This 361-nucleotide ribosomal RNA is filed under the name Tubicolixa chaetopterana. Its description in RNAcentral is "partial 12S ribosomal RNA". The record is from RNAcentral. Lineage: Eukaryota; Metazoa; Arthropoda; Malacostraca; Decapoda; Pinnotheridae.